UACAACCCUCCCUGUCUGUGGCUGUCA
This 27-nucleotide non-coding RNA is filed under the name Mus musculus (house mouse). Lineage: Eukaryota; Metazoa; Chordata; Mammalia; Rodentia; Muridae. The record is from RNAcentral.